UGGGCUUAGCUAGGCAAGUGUGGAUUGGU
RNAcentral lists this non-coding RNA (29 nucleotides) under Homo sapiens (human). The record is from RNAcentral. Lineage: Eukaryota; Metazoa; Chordata; Mammalia; Primates; Hominidae.